CUGGGUGUAGUCCCAUCCCUGGCCCGCAGUCCGCACAAUCGAUAUCAACAAGCUACCACUUCCGUAGCAAGACAGACCUACACAACACUAUCCAAAACGAACCACAAAAUCGAUAUCAUCAAACAGCCGGAACUAUUAACAAAUUAACACCACUAACAGCUGUGACAACAAGUAAAUAUCGGGUCCCGGUUCCCGACCCAGUGGACCCGCCCUACCUGAGACAAUCACCUGAUCUCGUCUUCCUCAUUUUGGCCACUAGAUGGCCCGCAUCAGCCCGUGUCGGCAGUCAUGCCCACUCUCCCCAUCAUCAGAUAAUUAGCCGGACCUUUCGCUCUUCAGUGUUUGAAUAUAAUUGCCGAAUAACAACAAAUAAUUGACGGCACCGCAAGCUAAUGCCAAUUACCGCAGGGAACAACGUUGGAGAAUGAAUUUAUAUAUAUUAAUUUGAUCGAUUGGCUCCCCACACUUUCAUGCAUGUAUAUAAGCAUGUAUUACCACGCUGAAAAAAUUUUAAGUUGGCAAAAAUCGUAUAUAUAAGAAUUUAUAUGAAUUAAGUCGCUUAAAUACUCUUAACCUACCUAAAGAGCUCUCUAGGGCGCUAAGGGCGAUAGAAAUA
Long non-coding RNA from Drosophila montana, 616 nucleotides. RefSeq lists it as uncharacterized. The transcript is spliced from 3 exons. The record is from RefSeq and is a predicted model, not a curated record. Lineage: Eukaryota; Metazoa; Arthropoda; Insecta; Diptera; Drosophilidae.